Molecule: ribosomal RNA, 348 nt
Filed under: uncultured Thermomicrobiales bacterium
Lineage: Bacteria; Pseudomonadati; Thermomicrobiota; Thermomicrobia; Thermomicrobiales
Description: SSU rRNA
Rfam family: Bacterial small subunit ribosomal RNA
Source: RNAcentral
GAUUUGCCAGAGAGUUUGAUCCUGGCUCAGGAACAACGCUGGCGGCGUGCCUAACGCAUGCAAGUCGCGCGGGCCCGCCCUUCGGGGCGGGUCAGCGGCGGACGGGUGAGGAACGCGUGGACAACCUACCCCUGGGUGGGGAACAACCCCGAGAAAUCGGGGCUGAUACCGCAUCCGCUCGCCCCCCCGUGGGGGGUGGCGAGGAAAGGCUUCGGCCGCCCGGGGAGGGGUCCGCGUCCGAUUAGCUGGUUGGCGGGGUGACGGCCCACCAAGGCGACGAUCGGUAGCGGGUCUGAGAGGACGGCCCGCCACAGGGGGACUGAGACACGGCCCCCACUCCUACGGGAG